GAUGAACGCUAGCGGCAGGCCUAAUACAUGCAAGUCGAGCGGUAAGGCUUUCUUCGGAGAGUACACGAGCGGCGCACGGGUGCGUAACGCGUAUGCAACCUACCUCUAAGAGGGGGAUACCCCAGAGAAAUUUGGAAUAAUACCCCAUAGUUUCGGAUCACUGCAUGGUGAACCGAAUAAAGUUCCGGCGCUUAGAGAUGGGCAUGCGUGACAUUAGUUAGUUGGUGAGGUAACGGCUCACCAAGACUACGAUGUCUAGCUGGUCUGAGAGGAUGAUCAGCCACACUGGCACUGAGACACGGGCCAGACUCCUACGGGAGGCAGCAGUAGGGAAUAUUGGACAAUGGGGGCAACCCUGAUCCAGCCAUGCCGCGUGGAGGAAGACGGCCCUCUGGGUUGUAAACUCCUUUUCUGGUGGGAUAAACCUGCGCUAUACGUGCAGCUGAAGGUACACCAGGAAUAAGCACCGGCUAACUCCG
RNAcentral lists this ribosomal RNA (479 nucleotides) under uncultured Bacteroidota bacterium. RNAcentral describes it as "bacterial SSU rRNA". It matches the Rfam family "Bacterial small subunit ribosomal RNA", at positions 28 to 505 of the family's 1533-position model. The record is from RNAcentral. Lineage: Bacteria; Pseudomonadati; Bacteroidota.